GAUGAACGCUGGCGGCGUGCCUAAUACAUGCAAGUCGAGCGAAAGGACGAGAAGCUUGCUUCUCUGAUGUUAGCGGCGGACGGGUGAGUAACACGUGGAUAACCCACCUAUAAGACUGGGAUAACUUCGGGAAACCGGAGAUUAUACCGGAUGAUAUUUUGAACCGCAUGGGUCAAAAGUGAAAGACGGUCUUGCUGUCACGUAUAGAGGGAUCCGCGCUGCAUUAGCUAGUUGGUAAGGUAACGGCUUACGAAGGCGACGAUGCAUAGCCGACCGGAGAGAGUGGUCGGCCACCCUGGAGCGUGGACGCCCUCCUGGCGCCUGCGGGACGGCGCAGUAUGCUACCUUCCGCAGCAGGCGGAAGCCUUACGCAAUGGGGCGGCGUGAGUGAUGAAGGUCUUCGGAUCGUGAUACCCUGUUAUGAGGUAAGAACAUAUGUGGAAGUUGCUGAGCACAUCUUGACGGUACCGAAUCAGAAAGCCCCGGCUAACUACGUG
Molecule: ribosomal RNA, 497 nt
Filed under: uncultured bacterium
Lineage: Bacteria
Description: partial 16S ribosomal RNA
Rfam family: Bacterial small subunit ribosomal RNA
Source: RNAcentral